ACUAAAAUUUUAUUCUUAAGAACUUCAUAUACCCUAGAUCAUAUUUAACGGUGUGGAUCAUUGAUUUGAACGCCCUAAGAUCGAAAACAACACUAUAGUACGGGAGCUUCCGUACUAUAGAUAGUAAAGUAGCCUAAUUCUAUAUAUAUAUAUAAGCACGUAUUUCAAAUUUGGGUCUAUCGACAGACUCAUUUUUUAGCGGGAAAAAUAUUGGUUCCUCUUUUCAUACAUAAAAUAAAUAACGUAAUGAAACAAACUUUUUAUUUCUGUUAAUCUCUAAAAUAAAAAAAUAUAUAUUUAUCCAAAUUUUUGCCAACCGAAAGAUAUCUACUGUGAAUCUAUAUUUUAAUUAAAAAAUUAUUUAAUUUUUUAUCUNAUAAUUAUACAUAUAUAUAAUUAUAUACAUAUAUAAUUAUAUUAAUUUUUAUUUAUUAUAAUUUAUUAUUCACUAUAAGUUAUAAAAUAGACAAUAAUAUCACUUUGGAGGUAAGUAUACCGGGGGUGGAGAGCUACACUUUUUACGUCAUUUACUUUCUACCAAACAAACAACAGAACUCGCAGAACUGCACUUCCACAGUUAAAAACAAACAGCAGAAGUGAACUAAUUUUCACCCCAACUCCACUUCAACCCAAAGUCCACUUCCACCCCAAGUCUACUUACGUUGAAACAAACAUGCCCUAAAGAGCGUAAAUUUUGUUUUCCU
This 704-nucleotide long non-coding RNA is filed under the name Ananas comosus (pineapple). Its description in RNAcentral is "long non-coding RNA (ACOM_LNC038923)". The record is from RNAcentral. Lineage: Eukaryota; Viridiplantae; Streptophyta; Magnoliopsida; Poales; Bromeliaceae.